This 253-nucleotide ribosomal RNA is filed under the name uncultured bacterium. RNAcentral's name for it is "partial 16S ribosomal RNA". It matches the Rfam family "Bacterial small subunit ribosomal RNA", at positions 524 to 776 of the family's 1533-position model. The record is from RNAcentral.
UACGUAGGGUGCAAGCGUUGUCCGGAAUUAUUGGGCGUAAAGAGCUCGUAGGCGGUUUGUCGCGUCUGCUGUGAAAACUCGGGGCUUAACCCCGGGCCUGCAGUGGGUACGGGCAGACUAGAGUGCGGUAGGGGAGACUGGAAUUCCUGGUGUAGCGGUGAAAUGCGCAGAUGUCAGGAGGAACACCGGUGGCGAAGGCGGGUCUCUGGGCUGUAACUGACGCUGAGGAGCGAAAGCGUGGGGAGCGAACAGG